UCCAGGGUUGAAUUUUAUCUAUGGCGAC
RNAcentral lists this small RNA (28 nucleotides) under Bombyx mori (domestic silkworm). Its description in RNAcentral is "ovarian small RNA-26840". Lineage: Eukaryota; Metazoa; Arthropoda; Insecta; Lepidoptera; Bombycidae. The record is from RNAcentral.